AUACGUAGGGUGCGAGCGUUGUCCGGAAUUACUGGGCGUAAAGAGCUCGUAGGUGGUUUGUCGCGUCGUCUGUGAAAUUCCGGGGCUUAACUCCGGGCGUGCAGGCGAUACGGGCAUAACUUGAGUACUGUAGGGGAGACUGGAAUUCCUGGUGUAGCGGUGAAAUGCGCAGAUAUCAGGAGGAACACCGGUGGCGAAGGCGGGUCUCUGGGCAGUAACGGACGCUGAGGAGCGAAAGCAUGGGUAGCGAACAGGAUUAGUUACCCUGGUAGUCCAUGCCGUAAACGGUGGGCGCUAGGUGUAGGGGUCUUCCACGACUUCUGUGCCGUAGCUAACCCAUUAAGCGCCCCGCCUGGGGAGUACGGCCGCAAGGCUAAAACUCAAAUGAAUUGACGGGG
This 398-nucleotide ribosomal RNA is filed under the name uncultured bacterium. Its description in RNAcentral is "partial 16S ribosomal RNA". It matches the Rfam family "Bacterial small subunit ribosomal RNA", at positions 523 to 918 of the family's 1533-position model. The record is from RNAcentral.